AGUCUUUCCUGUGAACCUAGAUCUUUGGAUACAGAUGAGGAUGCUGAAAUGCAGAGCAGUUAAGUGAUAUGACAAAGGACACCCAGGGGGAACCUGCACAUGUCCAGCAAUUUCGCAUGGAAAGGCUUGCAUAGCUCAGUGAGAGAAAACACCUGUGGGG
Molecule: long non-coding RNA, 160 nt
Organism: Lagopus leucura (white-tailed ptarmigan)
Lineage: Eukaryota; Metazoa; Chordata; Aves; Galliformes; Phasianidae
Exons: 3
Source: RefSeq, a predicted model, not a curated record